UAGGGAAUCUUCGGCAAUGGACGAAAGUCUGAUCGAGCAACGCCGCGUGAGUGAAGAAGGUUUUCGGAUCGUAAAACUCUGUUGUUAGAGAAGAACAAGGACGUUAGUAACUGAACGUCCCCUGACGGUAUCUAACCAGAAAGCCACGGCUAACUACGUGCCAGCAGCCGCGGUAAUACGUAGGUGGCAAGCGUUGUCCGGAUUUAUUGGGCGUAAAGCGAGCGCAGGCGGUUUCUUAAGUCUGAUGUGAAAGCCCCCGGCUCAACCGGGGAGGGUCAUUGGAAACUGGGAGACUUGAGUGCAGAAGAGGAGAGUGGAAUUCCUGUUGUAGCGGUUAAAUGCGUAGAUAUAUGGAGGAACACCAGUGGUGAAGGCGGCUCUCUGGUCUGUAACUGACGCUGUGGCUCGAAAGCGUGGGGAGCAAACAGG
This 429-nucleotide ribosomal RNA is filed under the name Gemmatimonadota bacterium. RNAcentral describes it as "Gemmatimonadetes bacterium partial 16S ribosomal RNA". It matches the Rfam family "Bacterial small subunit ribosomal RNA", at positions 355 to 776 of the family's 1533-position model. The record is from RNAcentral. Lineage: Bacteria; Pseudomonadati; Gemmatimonadota.